RNAcentral lists this non-coding RNA (29 nucleotides) under Rattus norvegicus (Norway rat). The record is from RNAcentral. Lineage: Eukaryota; Metazoa; Chordata; Mammalia; Rodentia; Muridae.
UCCUUUCUGAACGUCUCCGAGUCUAAGUU